GAUGAACGCUGGCGGCGUGCCUAAUACAUGCAAGUCGAGCGAACAGACGAGGAGCUUGCUCCUCUGACGUCAGCGGCGGACGGGUGAGUAACACGUGGAUAACCUACCUAUAAGACUGGGAUAACUUCGGGAAACCGGAGCUAAUACCGGAUAAUAUAUUGAACCGCAUUGUUCAAUAGUGAAAGACGGUUUUGCUGUCACUUAUAGAUGGAUCCGCGCCGCAUUAGCUAGUUGGUAAGGUAACGGCUUACCAAGGCGACGAUGCGUAGCCGACCUGAGAGGGUGAUAGGCCACCCUGGAACUGAGACACGGUCCAGACUCCUACGGGAGGCAGCAGUAGGGAAUCUUCCGCAAUGGGCGAAAGCUUGACGGAGCAACGCCGCGUGAGUGAUGAAGGUCUUCGGAUCGUAAAACUCUGUUAUUAGGGAAGAACAAAUGUGUAAGUAACUAUGCACGUCUUGACGGUACCUAAUCAGAAAGCCACGGCUAACUACGUG
Molecule: ribosomal RNA, 497 nt
Filed under: uncultured bacterium
Lineage: Bacteria
Description: partial 16S ribosomal RNA
Rfam family: Bacterial small subunit ribosomal RNA
Source: RNAcentral